GACGAACGCUGGCGGCGUGCCUAAUACAUGCAAGUAGAACGCUGAAGGAGGAGCUUGCUUCUCUGGAUGAGUUGCGAACGGGUGAGUAACGCGUAGGUAACCUGCCUGGUAGCGGGGGAUAACUAUUGGAAACGAUAGCUAAUACCGCAUAAUAGUAGAUGUUGCAUGACAUUUGCCUAAAAGGUGCAAUUGCAUCACUACCAGAUGGACCUGCGUUGUAUUAGCUAGUUGGUGGGGUAACGGCUCACCAAGGCGACGAUACAUAGCCGACCUGAGAGGGUGAUCGGCCACACUGGGACUGAGACACGGCCCAGACUCCUACGGGAGGCAGCAGUAGGGAAUCUUCGGCAAUGGACGGAAGUCUGACCGAGCAACGCCGCGUGAGUGAAGAAGGUUGUCGGAUCGUAAAGCUCUGUUGUAAGAGAAGAACGAGUGUGAGAGUGGAAAGUUCACACUGUGACGGUAUCUGACCAGAAAGGGACGGCUAACUACGUG
This 495-nucleotide ribosomal RNA is filed under the name uncultured bacterium. RNAcentral describes it as "partial 16S ribosomal RNA". It matches the Rfam family "Bacterial small subunit ribosomal RNA", at positions 28 to 507 of the family's 1533-position model. The record is from RNAcentral.